ACUGUCCUGCCCUGUACGCGAACGGUUGCAUUUAUAACCCUACAACCAUAUUUUUGGGAGCUCGGCUCUUUCGGCGGGUGUGCAGGCCUCCCGCUUCAUGCGGACGUUGGAAGCCCGAAACCGAUAGGAGAGCACCCACCUGCUUUAAUUGCAGGUUAUCAAUUGCCCGAUACGGCAGGGUGGGCAAAUA
Molecule: non-coding RNA, 190 nt
Filed under: Clostridia bacterium
Lineage: Bacteria; Bacillati; Bacillota; Clostridia
Description: 6S RNA
Rfam family: 6S / SsrS RNA
About the family: E. coli 6S RNA was the first non coding RNA to be sequenced, but its function was unknown until recently. It consists of 184 nucleotides that fold into an extended hairpin structure with a large single-stranded internal bulge.
Source: RNAcentral